Long non-coding RNA from Wyeomyia smithii (pitcher-plant mosquito), 905 nucleotides. RefSeq lists it as uncharacterized. NCBI's taxonomy places the organism in Eukaryota, Metazoa, Arthropoda, Insecta, Diptera, Culicidae. The transcript is spliced from 3 exons. The record is from RefSeq and is a predicted model, not a curated record.
GGGAAGAAAACUUCCAAAAAAGUUGGUACAAAAUGAACUACUCGAAAGUCCCAGCCUCUGAUAAAACGUCUGUUUGAGUAGUUUAUGAAGGCAGUGUACUUUUGCCGCCCUGCAUGUAUCUCGUUCCCACUCGAAGAAUGCUUCAUACAUUUUGUAAACAACUGUUUGACAGUUUUUUAGAAAAUUUUGUUUGGGGCUCGACUAAAGGCGAUGAAGUAUUCUUCUGUUCGUGCAAAACGAUUGGUUAUUCUAAAGGCAAAUCUUAUGAGGCUGCGAAUGAAUAUCAAACAUAUAAGCCAAUGAAACUAGUUUCAAAGUUCGUUUCGUACUUAUGGUCUGCUUGAUGUGCUAGUUUGCAUGCAAACGCUGCGAUAAAGAAGUUGGAAGCAAUAUGUUCGCCAUGUGUAACCAAGGUGUCCAGGCCAGUUAAUGGAAUCCUUCCGGUUUUGUUCAUGAAUUCGAUUGGUUUCCGAAAUAUGCUUGAAAAAUUUCGUAAUGUGUCGGUGAUUACGACGACAUGAAUGUCGGAGAAGAAGGACGCAAGAAUCUGAUCGAUUGUUUCGAACUGGCACCGGAACCGAAGAGUGACGUUGGUAUCAAAGACGAAGCUAUUGUCAAUGAAACGGAGAGGGACGAGAUUGCGGACGAUGAUCGAUUUCAGGAUGCUGUAGAGUAAAUUUACUAACUUGAGAAAUUACACAUCUUGCUAUUGUGCUUAUACACCAAUAAACAUUAAACCACGGUCCUAAAACUGAAAAUCGUGCACCAUCUGCCCACACAUUAUUUUAUUAUUUGCCAAAUAUUGUUACACACUUAGAAAUUUUCUACUGGAUGAGGUUUGAUAAAAUUUUCAAGAGUUUCAAGACGCACUAUACUGGAAGGAGAUUAUGCGCGCUUCACGCCUG